UGAAAUAUGAACCGUUGAAUUUGUUUGGGUGAAAGGGUCUUUACAGUUCUGAAGUUGAUAAUGUUGAAGGGACUGCAACAGGAUCUUCAUUCAUUUGUGAAUUGGAUAUUCCCAUUUUGAAUUACAUUUUUGUGAUGCUACUAUGCAGAAGCUAGUCUAACAUUAGACGAAUAUACGAUGCAGUAUUUCGUGAUUCCUGGUCAUUGUAUUCUAUGACCACUCAUCCAUGGUGACAUUUUGAUCUAUACAACAUUGAGUUAUUUAGCUCUUUACUGU
Molecule: long non-coding RNA, 276 nt
Filed under: Trifolium pratense (red clover)
Lineage: Eukaryota; Viridiplantae; Streptophyta; Magnoliopsida; Fabales; Fabaceae
Description: long non-coding RNA (TPRA_LNC005894)
Source: RNAcentral